AUGGCCAACCUCCACUUGUGGCUGCUCCUCGGUCGGGCCUCUGGGGUCGACCAGCUGCUGCCUGAGGGUGUGAAACAGCUGGCAGCUAGCCAUGUCCCAGGUCGACCGGCAGGCCCUCUGGACCGAGAGGUGUGCAGGGGUGCCUGUUGGGAUGAGCCGGAUCUGGAGCGUCCGCAUCUCAGUCGGAACCUCCAGGGUCGAUCAGCUGCUGCCAGCGAGCUCCGGACUUAG
This 231-nucleotide long non-coding RNA is filed under the name Homo sapiens (human). RNAcentral describes it as "non-protein coding lnc-ANKRD30BL-5:1". The record is from RNAcentral. Lineage: Eukaryota; Metazoa; Chordata; Mammalia; Primates; Hominidae.